Suillus bovinus is the source of this 82-nucleotide non-coding RNA. Lineage: Eukaryota; Fungi; Basidiomycota; Agaricomycetes; Boletales; Suillaceae. The record is from the annotation of a RefSeq genome assembly.
UCGGAUAUGGUGUAAUGGUUAACAUUACCGCCUCUCAUAAACCAAUUCGCGGUAGCUCGGGGUUCGAUUCCCCGUAUCCGAA